This is a long non-coding RNA of Daphnia pulicaria, 575 nucleotides long. RefSeq lists it as uncharacterized. The transcript has 4 exons. The record is from RefSeq and is a predicted model, not a curated record. Lineage: Eukaryota; Metazoa; Arthropoda; Branchiopoda; Diplostraca; Daphniidae.
GGAAUCAUUAGAAUUAUUAAAACAACGAAAUUUCAGAUUUCAGUGCAAAAAUUGACCACAUUUUCCAGAAAAAAACAGGUGAAACUAUAAACAUUGAUCUACUGCCAGACAGGUUGCUGUUAUGGUCAAUAAUGAUGAGGAUUCAAUAGAUAAACUGAUGCCAAUUAUUGACAGUGUUCAGUGUCUUAAAAGGUAGCUCUCACCCAAAACAAUACAAUAUUCGACUCCUGUAUCUGAUCAUUAUCCUAAUUAGGUUAAAUUCAUUCUGAUCACAUUUGUACAACAAGGCAUAACAUGUGUUUUGAAGAAAAAAAGCUUUAGACAAUGUACUGAAUCAAAGCAAAACAAGGAUACCUAUUUCAAACAAGAAAUCAGUAACCAGUCAAUGAAUAUAUUGAUUAUGAAGCACCGUCCAGUUGAUUAUGGUUUUGAUGACGAAAGCUGGAAAAGAAGGCUGAAUAGUAACUAUCACAAAGCUAAGAAACACUGUGCUGACAUUUAUUACCGAUUUUUUGUGUUUGUUCUAACCAUGGUGGUUCUAACAUAAAAGAGAGAGAACAGAGCCAAAUUUAAAA